Molecule: long non-coding RNA, 249 nt
Filed under: Brassica rapa (field mustard)
Lineage: Eukaryota; Viridiplantae; Streptophyta; Magnoliopsida; Brassicales; Brassicaceae
Description: long non-coding RNA (BRAP_LNC008685)
Source: RNAcentral
CCUAUUCAAGAGGGUGCUCAAACUAAGACAGAGCACUCUUGGCUGUGUGAAGAAGAAGGCUACUCUAUGAAGGCGGCUUCUAUUGUGAGGUGAUUGAAGAAGUAGCUGAAGCAUCCACAAGCAUUCCAUCAUGGUGGCAAAUUCAGAAGGGUGAUUGCAAUAAGAGAAGAAGAAGAAGUGAGGAUUCAAGUGGCAACGACCACUCCUCAUCACCUUAAACAAGGGAGUAAACCUAGUCUCAUCUAUCUU